Molecule: ribosomal RNA, 481 nt
Filed under: uncultured bacterium
Lineage: Bacteria
Description: partial 16S ribosomal RNA
Rfam family: Bacterial small subunit ribosomal RNA
Source: RNAcentral
GAUGAACGCUGGCGGCGUGCUUAACACAUGCAAGUCGAACGAAACACCUUAUUUGAUUUUCUUCGGAACUGAAGAUUUGGUGAUUGAGUGGCGGACGGGUGAGUAACGCGUGGGUAACCUGCCCUGUACAGGAGGAUAACAGUCAGAAAUGACUGCUAAUACCGCAUAAGACCACAGCACCGCAUGGUGCAGGGGUAAAAACUCCGGUGGUACAGGAUGGACCCGCGUCUGAUUAGCUGGUUGGUGAGGUAACGGCUCACCAAGGCGACGAUCAGUAGCCGGCUUGAGAGAGUGAACGGCCACAUUGGGACUGAGACACGGCCCAAACUCCUACGGGAGGCAGCAGUGGGGAAUAUUGCACAAUGGGGGAAACCCUGAUGCAGCGACGCCGCGUGAGUGAAGAAGUAUUUCGGUAUGUAAAGCUCUAUCAGCAGGGAAGAAAAUGACGGUACCUGACUAAGAAGCCCCGGCUAACUACGUG